UUGACCUCGGAUCAGGUAGGACUACCCGCUGAACUUAAGCAUAUCAAUAAGCGGAGGAAAAGAAACCAACAGGGAUUGCCCCA
Molecule: ribosomal RNA, 83 nt
Filed under: Sporothrix sp. 1 RJ-2012
Lineage: Eukaryota; Fungi; Ascomycota; Sordariomycetes; Ophiostomatales; Ophiostomataceae
Description: partial 28S ribosomal RNA
Rfam family: Eukaryotic large subunit ribosomal RNA
Source: RNAcentral